Cyprinus carpio carpio is the source of this 1116-nucleotide long non-coding RNA. The record is from Ensembl. Lineage: Eukaryota; Metazoa; Chordata; Actinopteri; Cypriniformes; Cyprinidae.
GCUAAAAGUCCCUAUGGUUGAAACAACGCCCUUAUGCUGACAUAUAAUAAAUGAUAGAGUCAGAUUAUCCAUUGUAGAAAACCAACUGCAGAAUGGAAUGCCUGCCUCUCUGUUUUAUUCUCUCUCUCUCUAAACAAGAACCAUGUGUUUCUCCCUACAUCUUCAUGUUCUCAUAACACAGAGCACUGUUUGCUAACCUUCCCAACACUGACCAUCAGUGUCUCUCUGACUCAUGGGUCUUCUACAUACAAUGAUCCUGACUGUAAUGUGUUCUAUAUAACUGUUCAUCAGUACAUAAUGAGAAUGUAAUUGUAAAAGAGUCUCCCACAGGACAGAGGUCACUCGUAUCAAGGAACGCCCGGAUUUAAUUAGGCCGUUUAAUUCUCCUCUGCUAUGCCACAGAUGUUGUCAAGCAUGCCCAGACCUCCAUACAGGGCUUAUCAGGCCUCUCCGCACAUUCCACACAAUGUUAGCUGGAGACAAUGCUGUUACAAUGCAUGCAAUUAUGAGGACCUGCAUGACGACGACGAUCUAAUAGAAUCCAUCUGUGGAGGUGGCCAGGACAGUAAAGAGCUCUAAUAAGAUCUUGUCAGCCUCAGGAUGAGAGUGCUGUUAUCUCAAUGGCUGCAGACACCUUCAUCAGCCACACCGUCAUGAAGGAAGAGCUGUGCUUUCUUUUGUUGCUUGUUGCAUGCUUUGUUGCAUGCUGCUUUUAAUUCUCACUUUCUCUCACAAACAUUUAUCUGCUCCUUUCUCUCGUUCUCUGCAUGUAUUUCAGUGGUUCUCUAUCUUGUAACGAUGCCUCCAGAUGUUUCUAAUAAAACUAGUGUCAGGGAGGAGUGUUGCUGGCAGAUCUGCGCUUUUGUGAGCUGUUCUUCGACAUUUAGGGAAAAAUGCUUUAAGAGGACUGCAGGGCAGUAACUCAGCGCUCUUUGGGGAGGGGUGGACAGUUUGGCAUGGCUUUGAAAGGGGCCCAAGGAAAGGCACUCCUGCAUUUGUCUUUUUUCAUCACGCUCCAUGUUUCUGGUUUCUGUGGUCGUGAUACGAGUGAUCGUUCAGGAAAUGAGAGGGACCCAAAUCUUUUUCAAACUUGUCAUCGACGUUAGAGAUUUGCUC